AUUGAACGCUGGCGGCAUGCUUUACACAUGCAAGUCGAACGGUAACAGGCCGCAAGGUGCUGACGAGUGGCGAACGGGUGAGUAAUGCAUCGGAACGUGCCCAGUCGUGGGGGAUAACGCAGCGAAAGCUGUGCUAAUACCGCAUACGAUCUAUGGAUGAAAGCGGGGGACCGUAAGGCCUCGCGCGAUUGGAGCGGCCGAUGUCAGAUUAGGUAGUUGGUGGGGUAAAGGCCUACCAAGCCGACGCUCUGUAGCUGGUCUGCGAGGACGACCAGCCACACUGGGACUGAGACCCGGCCCAAGCGCCGACGGGAGGCAGCAGUGGGGAGCUUUGGACAAUGGGCGCAAGCCUGAUCCAGCAAUGCCGCGUGCAGGAAGAAGGCCUUCGGGUUGUAAACUGCUUUUGUACGGAACGAAACGGUCUGGGUUAAUACCCUGGGCUAAUGACGGUACCGUAAGAAUAAGCACCGGCUAACUACGUGCCAGCAGCCGCCGUAA
Molecule: ribosomal RNA, 498 nt
Filed under: uncultured bacterium
Lineage: Bacteria
Description: partial 16S ribosomal RNA
Rfam family: Bacterial small subunit ribosomal RNA
Source: RNAcentral